GGAUGGGCAUGCGGCGCAUUAGCUAGUUGGCGGGGUAACGGCCCACCAAGGCGACGAUGCGUAGGGGUUCUGAGAGGAAGGUCCCCCACACUGGUACUGAGACACGGACCAGACUCCUACGGGAGGCAGCAGUGAGGAAUAUUGGUCAAUGGGCGGGAGCCUGAACCAGCCAAGUCGCGUGAGGGAAGACGGUCCUAUGGAUUGUAAACCUCUUUAGGCGGGGAGCAAUGCCGGGCACGCGUGCCCGGAGGGAGAGUACCCGCAGAAUAAGCAUCGGCUAACUCCGUGCCAGCAGCCGCGGUAAUACGGAGGAUGCGAGCGUUAUCCGGAUUUAUUGGGUUUAAAGGGUGCGUAGGCGGAUUUUUAAGUCAGCGGUAAAAUGUCCGGGCUCAACCCGGGCCGGCCGUUGAAACUGGGGAUCUUGAGUGGGCGAGAAGUAUGCGGAAUGCGUGGUGUAGCGGUGAAAUGCAUAGAUAUCACGCAGAACUCCGAUUGCGAAGGCAGCAUACCGGCGCCCGACUGACGCUGAGGCACGAAAGCGUGGGGAUCGAACAGGAUUAGAUACCCUGGUAGUCCACGCAGUAAACGAUGAAUGCUAGUUGUCCGG
Molecule: ribosomal RNA, 607 nt
Filed under: uncultured bacterium
Lineage: Bacteria
Description: bacterial SSU rRNA
Rfam family: Bacterial small subunit ribosomal RNA
Source: RNAcentral